RNAcentral lists this ribosomal RNA (253 nucleotides) under uncultured bacterium. Its description in RNAcentral is "partial 16S ribosomal RNA". It matches the Rfam family "Bacterial small subunit ribosomal RNA", at positions 524 to 776 of the family's 1533-position model. The record is from RNAcentral.
UACGUAGGGCGCAAGCGUUGUCCGGAAUUAUUGGGCGUAAAGAGCUCGUCGGCGGUCUGUCGCGUCGGAUGUGAAAGCCCGGGGCUUAACCCCGGGUCUGCAUUCGAUACGGGCAGACUAGAGUGUGGUAGGGGAGAUCGGAAUUCCUGGUGUAGCGGUGAAAUGCGCAGAUAUCAGGAGGAACACCGGUGGCGAAGGCGGAUCUCUGGGCCAUUACUGACGCUGAGGAGCGAAAGCGUGGGGAGCGAACAGG